This 253-nucleotide ribosomal RNA is filed under the name uncultured bacterium. RNAcentral's name for it is "partial 16S ribosomal RNA". It matches the Rfam family "Bacterial small subunit ribosomal RNA", at positions 524 to 776 of the family's 1533-position model. The record is from RNAcentral.
UACGAGGGGUCCUAGCGUUGUUCGGAAUCAUUGGGCGUAAAGCGUGUGUAGGUGGCUUUGUAAGUCAGGUGUGAAAGCCCAGGGCUUAACCCUGGAAGUGCAUUUGAUACUGCGAAGCUUGAGUACUGGAGAGGAUAGUAGAAUUCCUGGUGUAGUGGUGAAAUACGUAGAUAUCAGGAGGAAUACCGGUGGCGAAGGCGGCUAUCUGGCCAUGUACUGACACUGAGACACGAAAGCGUGGGGAUCAAACAGG